Molecule: small nucleolar RNA, 68 nt
Organism: Sphaerodactylus townsendi
Lineage: Eukaryota; Metazoa; Chordata; Lepidosauria; Squamata; Sphaerodactylidae
Source: RefSeq, a predicted model, not a curated record
CCUCAUGAUGAAAACUUUGUCCAGUUCUGCUACUGAAUGUUAAGUGGUGAUAGUUCAUAUUCUGAAGG